GACGAACGCUGGCGGCGUGCUUAACACAUGCAAGUCGAACGGUGAAGCGCCUUCCUUUUUGGUGGGUGUGGAUGAGUGGCGAACGGGUGAGUAACACGUGAGUAACCUGCCCCCUUCUUCUGGAUAACCGCAUGAAAGUGUGGCUAAUACGGGAUAUUCUGGGUCUGUCGCAUGAUGGGUCUGGGAAAGAUAUUGUUUCGGUGGGGGAUGGGCUCGCGGCCUAUCAGCUUGUUGGUGGGGUGAUGGCCUACCAAGGCGGUGACGGGUAGCCGGCCUGAGAGGGUGGACGGUCACACUGGGACUGAGACACGGCCCAGACUCCUACGGGAGGCAGCAGUGGGGAAUAUUGCACGAUGGGCGCAAGCCUGAUGCAGCGACGCCGCGUGAGGGAUGGAGGCCUUCGGGUUGUGAACCUCUUUCGCCAGUGAAGCAGGCCUGCCUCGUUUGUGGGUGGGUUGACGGUAGCUGGAGAAGAAGCGCCGGCUAACUACGUG
RNAcentral lists this ribosomal RNA (494 nucleotides) under uncultured bacterium. RNAcentral's name for it is "partial 16S ribosomal RNA". It matches the Rfam family "Bacterial small subunit ribosomal RNA", at positions 28 to 507 of the family's 1533-position model. The record is from RNAcentral.